Molecule: long non-coding RNA, 957 nt
Filed under: Nicotiana tabacum (common tobacco)
Lineage: Eukaryota; Viridiplantae; Streptophyta; Magnoliopsida; Solanales; Solanaceae
Description: long non-coding RNA (NTAB_LNC009615)
Source: RNAcentral
GUGGACAAAGCCACACCAGAUGAUUCGUGCACUCUUACUAUUCUGCAAUUUCAAAAAAAAAAAAAAAAACGGUAGAACAGCCUACCAAAUAAAGCAAAAAAAAGAAUAUAUCAAUAACAUGUAACUUAAAAUCAUACCUUGCAUCUUUAGUGUGUGGACGGCGGUAACAACCAAAUGGUGACCUUAAGUCUUGAAUAGUAGCCCCACAGUGAUCAAAUUAAGAUAAAUUGACUUUUUUCUGGAAGAUUUCUUGCUCAGUUGCUCCUAGAGAUUUCACUGUCUGCAUCCAAAAUAGGAGGUGGACACAACAGUAUACUCCCGAUAAGAUGACUUAGACAUAUCAUCAAAUACCAUGGCUGCAAGCUCCAUUUCAAAAUUACAGUCACUUCUGAUACCUUGAAGUUUUGGUAACAAAGACAAAAUACAUCAAAGAGACAAUGCACGUGUAAAUCAGGUAUGAUUACUAACAUGUAAUAGAAAUUAGCUAAAAUUUAUAUUCAAAAGAAUUUAUCAAUAGCAAUACUGCAAGACUGUGAAAACCGAAGCAGUGCUCAUAGGAGUCGUCCUGAAUUUUGGAGGUGCGAUACACACGUGUGUGCCGACCAAUUUUUCAAAAACAGCAUGUAGCAACUCUUUUUCAGAGAGAAAAGUAACAGAAACAGAAACCACAGAGUAAGAAGAAAGAAAGAGAUCGGGAAAUAGAAGAGAAGUGCAGGCCAGAUAUCCCAAAUAAGUAGACAUGUGUCGUCCAAGGAAGAGAAAUAUAUGAUUGCAAAAAUUAGAAUCGCUUGUCCACCCCCGAGGAUAAAUAAAUUCAAUCGCCAAUGACAAAGGUCCAAAUCCACAGUACAAUCUCGAUUACUAUGUGUACAAUAAUUUAAUGUAGUGUUCGUACACCCUGCCCUCACUUAUAUAUAUGCCAAGUAUUUCAUCAAUCUCAGUUUUUUAUUUAUCAAA